This 482-nucleotide ribosomal RNA is filed under the name uncultured bacterium. RNAcentral's name for it is "bacterial SSU rRNA". It matches the Rfam family "Bacterial small subunit ribosomal RNA", at positions 29 to 507 of the family's 1533-position model. The record is from RNAcentral.
AUUGAACGCUGGCGGCAUGCCUUACACAUGCAAGUCGAACGGUAACGGGCCUUCGGGUGCCGACGAGUGGCGAACGGGUGAGUAAUGUAUCGGAACGUACCUUUCAGUGGGGGAUAACGUAGCGAAAGUUACGCUAAUACCGCAUACGUCCUGAGGGAGAAAGCGGGGGACCGAAAGGCCUCGCGCGAUUGGAGCGGCCGAUGUCGGAUUAGCUAGUUGGUGGGGUAAAGGCCUACCAAGGCGACGAUCCGUAGCGGGUCUGAGAGGAUGAUCCGCCACACUGGGACUGAGACACGGCCCAGACUCCUACGGGAGGCAGCAGUGGGGAAUUUUGGACAAUGGGGGCAACCCUGAUCCAGCCAUGCCGCGUGAGUGAAGAAGGCCUUCGGGUUGUAAAGCUCUUUCAGACGGAAAGAAAACGCAUCGGUGAAUACCCGAUGUGGAUGACGGUACCGUAAGAAGAAGCACCGGCUAACUACGUG